This 680-nucleotide ribosomal RNA is filed under the name Cobetia amphilecti. RNAcentral's name for it is "bacterial SSU rRNA". The stretch from base 1 to 570 matches the Rfam family "Bacterial small subunit ribosomal RNA", at positions 384 to 1533 of the family's 1533-position model. Lineage: Bacteria; Pseudomonadati; Pseudomonadota; Gammaproteobacteria; Oceanospirillales; Halomonadaceae. The record is from RNAcentral.
UGAUCAGCCAUGCCGCGUGUGUGAAGAAGGCCUUCGGGUUGUAAACCACUUUCAGCGAGGAAGAACGUCAUGGGAUUAAUACUCCCGAGGAAGGACAUCUCUCUGAGAAGAAGCACCGGCUAACUCCGUGCCAGCGGCCGCGGUAAUACGGAUGGUGCAAGCGUUAACCGGAAUUACUGGGCGUGAAGCGCGCGUAGGUGGCUGAGUCAGCCCGGGGUGAAAGCCCCGGGCUCAACCGGGGAGCGGCAUCUGGAACUGCUUGGAUUGAGUGCAGGAGAGGAAGGUAGAAUUCCCGGUGUAGCGGAGAAAUGCGUAGAGAUCGGGAGGAAUACCAGUGGCGAAGGCGGCCUUCUGGACUGACACUGACACUGAGGUGCGAAAGCGUGUGUAGCAAACAGGAUUAGAUACCCUGGUAGUCCACGCCGUAAACGAUGUCAACUAGCCGUUGGGUCCCUUGAGGACUUAGUGGCGCAGCUAACGCAAUAAGUUGACCGCCUGGGGAGUACGGCCGCGAGGUUAAAACUCAAACGGUCCUUUCUUCUCUGCGUCCAGAUCCCUAGCUCCUCCUCCCCCAUUGAAUGUGUUUUAUGACCGAAAACCCUUCUUCCCUCCUGCGAGUAUCGUUGGAUCAGACUUUCGUCCAUGGUGCAACAUUCCCGCACUGCUGCCUUCAGUAAACC